Molecule: long non-coding RNA, 1844 nt
Organism: Cyprinus carpio (common carp)
Lineage: Eukaryota; Metazoa; Chordata; Actinopteri; Cypriniformes; Cyprinidae
Source: RefSeq, a predicted model, not a curated record
UACAUUAAUUUAAAGUUUGUUUUAUUUAUUUAUAUAUUCGAUUUGUGAUAGUUUUGAGUGAUUGUAACAACACUGUACAAAAUAAUAAGUGGAUCCUGUUACACAACAAAAAAAUCUACGUCCAGGCACUUCAUUUUGUUCCCUUUCUGGAGCACCCAUAGUUAAAAGUACCUGAUGCACCCUUGCUCAAGAUUUUUUCUUUUAUAGUAACAACAUCAUGUUGAAUGAAUCAGCUGAUUAAAUGAUUCACUGACUCAUCUAUAAAGACAGUAAUUUACUGUCCUAAUAAAGUAUCUGCAGAAAGAGUCAGUAAAAAUUCCCACCACUAAUGCAUUAAUCAUAAGAUUCAUUUUAAUUUUCUAUGAUAGAUCAUUUUGGACUACAUUCGGCAGCCACUGCAUUUUUAAAAUAUGCAAUUUAAAAUACAGUCAUACCCAUUUAAAUACAUCCACUGCUUUUCAGUGGAUGUUUGGGACCCAAGAUGCGCCAGGGCAUUCAGUAUAUGGACCAGCCUGGAUAUGGCAGAUCUAUCGCUGGCCCAUACGAGCCACCAGCAAUGGGCCCACUAAAACAGUCAACCAACAAAGGGCCAUGCCACCCUCCAGACGAUUUCAGUCCCAAGUGCCCCCCUCCAUGCCAAGCCACAUCGACAACCAAAGCCAACAACUGAGAGCUAAAGGCUUAGCUUUUCAUCAAAGGCAAAAUGCUUAUCUCCCACCACAGAGACUUAUGCUGCAUCAUUUCCAAACAUCUGCCACUAACCGACUAAUGCUGAGAAAACUGAUUUCCGAUGAGCUAAAAUAGCGACACAGAAAUUCAAUGUAAAGAGUUAAAUCAAACUACUUUCUCCUCUGUGAAUGAAAGUGGCACUAUUUACUUAGAGAUUAAUGUUUGACUGGAUGAAGCACCAAUCCCUUGCUGAAGUAUUUUUACAUUUUGCCCUUUCAAAUCAUUCACAUUCAUCACAGAAAUGCAGCUUUUCAUGACAACUUCUUUUGGUGGGAUUACAUUUUAUUUUUACAUGCUUCUCGGUCUGAACAACAGCAAAAUUUGCUCUCCCUGAAAAUCGCUUCCAGAAAUCUGUGACGAGAUGGAAAGAUAGACAGCGGGUGAGUCAGAGAUACAGACAAUGUCUCAAUGAGCAGCAGAGAGCUGAUCAUUUAUUUAUAAAUGGCUUACAACUGUGACUGCUGUGGAUUGCUGGUAUAAGAGGCCUUUCGGAUGUACGUAAGAGACUUGUCUGAGUGGCACAUUGGGGAGAAUGAGGAUGUCUGUUAUCAACUGAAAGAAAAGAAAGUGACUCAAGUUUGGGAAAAAACACAAAGUGUCCCUUGUUAGGGCACUUCAAGACCUUUACAGCAUUUCACCACAGCUUUCCCUGACGAAUUUCAUACCGAAUGCAAUCCCAAACAGGCAUCAUACAGAUAUUUGUCCCAUUUGAGGGCUUCCUCCCAUCUGUGUGGUUUCCUCGCUGGCUGAUGAAGAGCCUUCCACCUGUGACGAGGUUUUCUUGGUAGACUGCAUCUUGGCCUGAGGCUUGCUUUGAAGCAGCUGUCGUACAAGCAAAGACAACAGAAGGACAUGCAUCGCCAGUUUUUAUGACUCAUGCUGGAAAUGAUGGUGCCCACGGCCUUGGUCCUGCCCUCUCUGAAGACGAGUCUCUGGUCCGUGUGAAAGUACUCGGGGGUCUUGAUGAAACGGAAGUCUUGGUAUCUUGGAGAUAUCGUCGUCGGAUGGUGUAGUACGAGAAUCUCUGCCUCAAACUCCCAGCAUGCCUGUGGGUUGAGGCGUGGCGACACCAUCACCAUUCCCUUCCUGAUUGAUGAGCGCUUGAUCUUCUUCAG